Molecule: ribosomal RNA, 414 nt
Filed under: Triticum aestivum (bread wheat)
Lineage: Eukaryota; Viridiplantae; Streptophyta; Magnoliopsida; Poales; Poaceae
Description: partial small subunit ribosomal RNA
Source: RNAcentral
AUCUGGAGGGCCCACAUCCCUCCGAAGAUCAAGAUUUUUCUUUGGCAAGCCUCUCGCGGGCGGCUGCCAGCUGGUGACCAAAUCCGCAACCGCAAUGGCCCUGGCUCUGAUUGUUGUGCGCUCUGUGGGCAAAGAGAAGAUACGAAGCAUAUUUUCUUUAACUGUGUCCUGGCUAAGCUUUUCUGGUGCUGUAUCAGAUCGUGGUUGCAUGUUUCUUGGCGAACUUCCUCCUUCUCAGACCUUCGACUCUUGGCUUCCAACCUGGUCAGGGCCCAGAGAAGAAUGCUUUGGGUGGGAGUGGCAGCGAUGUGUUGGACUCUUUGGACGAGAAGAAACAAGUUUACGAUUGAACUUAUUUUUUCUGCUAAACUUGCUGAUUGCUUAUUUAAAACUUGCAUAUUCUUGCAGCAGUAG